Long non-coding RNA from Olea europaea var. sylvestris, 2604 nucleotides. RefSeq lists it as uncharacterized. The record is from RefSeq and is a predicted model, not a curated record. The transcript has 2 exons. NCBI's taxonomy places the organism in Eukaryota, Viridiplantae, Streptophyta, Magnoliopsida, Lamiales, Oleaceae.
CAGGGAGUUAAUACCCUCUCAAAUUAGUUCUUCUUUCGAAUAUAGCAACUGUUUCAAGGCACACUUUGUACCCCAGCAGAUCUUGAAUUUUAUCAUUAGCGAUUGAGAAUGUCACCAACUUUCUCACUCAAAAUGCUGUUCUUCUCGUACUUCAAGGAUUUGGUGGGUCGAGAAGUGACCGUGGCGUUGAAGAACGAUUUAGCAUUAAGAGGUACAUUACACUCUGUGGAUCAGUACCUCAACAUUAAGCUCUAAAACACUCGGGUUUUUUUUAUCAAGAUAAGUACCCCCACAUGGUAUUCCCUCUUUCUUCCUCACUUUAGGGUUUUGGAUUUUUUAUAAAGGAAAUUUAAUAAUAAGUUCCAACUUCCAAAGCAUGGAUGGAAACUGAAAACUUAAAAUGUUCUUAUGAUAAGCUUUCUUUUUUUAGUCAAUUUUUAUACAUGUCUAUUUUGUUGAAUGACUGCAUUAUCUGUGCUCUAAAUGCCAUUUAGGUAAAGAUUUCUCUUGAUUAGAAGUUGAGAGUUUUAUUUAUAUAAUAUGUUUCAUUUUUAAGAUGUAUGGUCCUUGGAUUUGCUAUUGUUUGGAAUUUGUUGUGCCUACUUGAUGAAAUAUGAAGGGUUAUGUAAAUCUAAUAUGGCAAUUUGGGUUUCAAAUUUUAUAGGAAUAUACCUGUUUAAGAAAUUCUAUGUAAUAGAAAGGUGUUGUGAGGAAUUUGAAUAUUUAUGUAUGAUUUCCAUUCUGUUUGAUGAUUUUUAUUUUAGUCCACCACCAAGAUGGUAAAUUUAUUAAUACUAGAACAUAAAGUAUAAUACCACCCACAAUACCCUUUUUGAUUAUUGAAUUAUCUGGUGGAGUAUUGGAACCUCCAUUCUUUGCAAAUGUGCAAUGACAUGAAGAAUAAUUCGUAUUACUACACUUACCUUUCACUUGACAAUUCAAAAAUGAUAGAAGAAAUGACUGUUGGAAGGAGAUCAUUGAACCGCGUGUUGGGUUGAGUGAUUGUGUAAGUGUAUGACUAUAUUUAAUAUGAAAAAAAUGAGAAAAAGAGUAAAGGUGUAGAGACAAAGUAAUAGAGAGGGAGAGGGAAAGUGUAAAUAAUUGGUGAAGGAUAGUUCAAUAUUGAGUUUAACUCCUAUUUAUAGUGCAAGUUCUAGGACCAUGUGUAGAAAGUUGAAAGGAAAUGGCUAGAUGUUAGACAUGGUAAAAGCAUAAUUGGUACAUUAUCUUGAAAGUUGUCAAAUCAAUACAUUUAAUCAUGUGAUCAAAUCAAUUGACUUGACUUGAAUUUUAGUGUAAAUAAUGUAUGUGGUUAAAUCAAUUACCUUUAUUUAUUAGUCAAAGCAAUUACUUUGUUUAAAAUAUGGUAAAUAAUGCAUGUGGUCAAAUAAAUCAUAUCUAAUCAUGGCUAAUUGACAUAUUUACAUAUAAUUUUAUUUAACUUCCAAUUUAACUCUUCACUUAGGUCCUCAAAGAUUGGCUAGUAAUUAAUAAGGUCAUUUAACUAAAAUUUAACUCAAUCAAUAACCAAUAAGGUCAUUAGACUUUAAUAAUGGCGCACUUAAGUCCUAAUUAUUAAUCUAAUGACUAGUAAUAAAAAUUUAGGAUAUUAUAGGUAGGAUGCUGAAUAAUUUUGAAAUAUGAUUUUAGGUAUUUAUUUCGAGGAAACGUGACUAUGAAUUGUACAAUACCUCUGAUUCCUGGACUUAAAUUAAUGAAACUUCAAAUGUAAGGAUUAGCGGUUGGUAAUAGAGAUGAGUUUCUAGUUCAAUUGAAGCAUAUGGAAGAAAAAUGUUUUAUCUUUUGAAUCUAAUCGUUCAUUUCAUUUUGGAUUUCUAGUGAUCAUUUUACUUCUAUACUGUUUUUCCAACCAGUGGAGUUUAUUUAUCAUUCCAAAGUUAAUGCCACUACACAAUCCAACCUCACUCACAUAAAUAACAGAAUAAAAAGAAAUGCAAAAAUGUUAUAUCUUCUCUAUUUUAUUUAAUCCUUUGAAAAAUAAAUCUUAUUCUAACAUUAACUAUAAUCCAAUCUACAGUGGACUGACUACCUUUAAUUCAUCCUUUAUUGAUCAUCAGUGUACAUUUCUCUUACUUCCUUUACCCUUUCUUCCCAAAUUCUUGUAGAACUCGGGAGCAUGUCAUGUUUAGACCUGUACUGUGGAUAAGGCUUGAGGCACCAUUAAACCGAAUAUGUUAUUUGUUAAUGGGAUCUGCAGCACGUGAGGGUGGGUGAUUACCUAGUAUGUUGUUUCCCAUGCAUUUUAAGGUUUAUAUAAUUAGUUUGUUCUUUGCACCUUGUAUUCGUUGUUACCUUUUGAGCUUGAGUACGGACAUUAUUUAUUCAUGCAUUCUAUUGAUGGUGUAUUUUAGUGAAACCACUAUUCAGUAAUUCAUUGUCAAUUGGACGUGUUAUCGCAGGUAUGCCUGAUCUUUCACUUUCUUUUAUCCUUUUUGUCGUUCUAUUGUGUUGUGCUCCCAACACUUCUAAAUCUACAUUAAAGUAAAGAGAUUCUCCAUACAACUUGUGGUAUAUUGUUUUUUUACUGGGAUUUGAGCUGGUGAGAUGUAAUGCUAAAAAUUGCUUGCAUACUACUCUAAUGAU